CUGAGGAAUUGAACCCAGGGCUUCAUGCAUGCUAAACACUCUACCACUAAGCCACAUUCCCAGCCCCAAGUAGUUUUUAAAGUAAAGUUAAAAGACUUGUAGCCUAUCUCUGCCAGGCACCAAUGGCUUCAAAGGUUGGGUUUCAAAUCCAACCUAACAGACUCUUAUUCAAUUAACUAGCAAAAAGCCCUAAGUAGAGACAUGGCUCAACAGUACUGGCACAA
Molecule: long non-coding RNA, 224 nt
Organism: Perognathus longimembris pacificus (Pacific pocket mouse)
Lineage: Eukaryota; Metazoa; Chordata; Mammalia; Rodentia; Heteromyidae
Exons: 3
Source: RefSeq, a predicted model, not a curated record